GCCAUCCUUGUUCCAGUGCUAUCUGUGGGACCGGACAGAGACUGAACUGCAGCUGACCGCAUAUCCUCACUUUGCUUCUUCCCAGCCCUGUCUUGCUUCCCUCACUGCCUUACAAGGUUUCACUUGCAUGUGCUUGCAGAAGACUCCUGACUCUGCCAUUGCAACCUCUGAUGUUAGGGAUCUUAACCUAAGACAGGAGACUUCCUGCCCGGGCCCUAUGUUUUAUAUUUUCACCUAUAUUCUGGAGAGGAAAAUGAAGAAUUCCUUAAGUUCUCACUUGAAAAUUUGAUUUGUAAGGGAACUGGAAGUUUUCCUGCUGAGUGCUCCAUGUGUAAGAG
RNAcentral lists this long non-coding RNA (338 nucleotides) under Homo sapiens (human). Its description in RNAcentral is "HSALNT0319690". The record is from RNAcentral. Lineage: Eukaryota; Metazoa; Chordata; Mammalia; Primates; Hominidae.